This 831-nucleotide long non-coding RNA is filed under the name Fragaria vesca (wild strawberry). RNAcentral's name for it is "long non-coding RNA (FVES_LNC005196)". The record is from RNAcentral. Lineage: Eukaryota; Viridiplantae; Streptophyta; Magnoliopsida; Rosales; Rosaceae.
AAAAGUCGUCGGUUAAAGUCGAAAAAUUUUCAAAAUUUUCAACCAAAAUUUUUUGGCGGUCAACCAAAAUUUUCAAAAGAUUUUAGCCGACGAAAAUAAAGAAUUUCGUCGGCUAAAGUUCUUUAUAUAGGCGAAGAUGGAUGGUAAGAAGUCUAUUAUCUGCCAGAUUUUCUUCUCGGCCUAGCUCCGCCGUCAAGCCACCGGAGACCGUCACACUUGUCUCAAAAGCUUCGCCGUCGUCUCUACUUCAUUGCUGGAUAGGUGGUGCAUCGAGUAACGCCGCCGUGAGGGAUAAAUCGAGCUCCAAAACUCCGCCGGUUCGGAUUCGGUGUCGAUCAAAUUUCUCCUUCCUUAGGCCACCAUUUGGUGAGUUCUAUAUAUGGAUAAGUUGAGUUUGAUUAGUACUACAGUCCCCUAGAAUUUGGUAGCUCGAUUCGAUGUGUGUGAAGAGAAUCAAAGAUUUGAAGUUUUUAGGGUUUAAAAUUGAGGAUUUUUAUAUUUUGAGUCGAUUGACCUGUUUAGGCUUAGAAUUGAGCUUCGACUUCUUCUAGAAAGUUGUUCGAAAUGUUGAGAGGAAGAUUCUGUCAAAUUUUGGUCGUGAUUGGAGGUGGCCGAAAGGUUCUGCAGUUUUUUUUUUCAAAACCCAGCAACUUUAGCCGACGAUAUUUAAAUACUAUAUUCGUCGGCUAUAGUAUUUUUAAUUUUUUUUAUAAGGUUUAGCCGACGAAUUAUGGCAUGUUUCGUCGGCUAUAGUUAUUUUUUAAAUUUUUUAUAAGGUUUAGCCGACGAAGUAUAGUAAAUUUCGUCGGUUAUAGUUAUUUUUAAAUUUUU